AGAGUUUGAUCAUGGCUCAGAAUGAACGUUGGUGGCGUGGAUUAGGCAUGCAAGUCGUGCGCGAAAGUCCCUUCGGGGACUGGAGAGCGGCGAACGGGGUAGUAAUGCGUCGGAACGUACCCUUGGGUCUGGGAUAACCGCGGGAAACUGCGGGUAAUACCGGAUGACCUCUUUGGAGCAAAGGUGAGACUCCGCCCGAGGAGCGGCCGACGUGAUACCAGCUAGUUGGUGAGGUAAUGGCUCACCAAGGCUCAGACGUCUAGGGGGUGUGAGAGCAUGGCCCCCUCCACUGGGACUGAGACACUGCCCAGACACCUACGGGUGGCUGCAGUCGAGAAUCUUCGGCAAUGGGCGAAAGCCUGACCGAGCGACGCCACGUGCGGGAUGACGGCCCUCGGGUUGUAAACCGCUGUCGAGGGGGAUGAAGUCAUUGGGAGCUAUCUCCCGAUGUUGACAGAGCCCUGGAGGAAGCGCGGGCUAAGUACGUGCCAGCCGCCGCGGUAAUAC
Molecule: ribosomal RNA, 507 nt
Filed under: uncultured bacterium
Lineage: Bacteria
Description: bacterial SSU rRNA
Rfam family: Bacterial small subunit ribosomal RNA
Source: RNAcentral